RNAcentral lists this ribosomal RNA (2923 nucleotides) under Klebsiella pneumoniae. RNAcentral describes it as "bacterial LSU rRNA". It matches the Rfam family "Bacterial large subunit ribosomal RNA". Lineage: Bacteria; Pseudomonadati; Pseudomonadota; Gammaproteobacteria; Enterobacterales; Enterobacteriaceae. The record is from RNAcentral.
GGGUUGUGAGGUUAAGCGACUAAGCGUACACGGUGGAUGCCCUGGCAGUCAGAGGCGAUGAAGGACGUGCUAAUCUGCGAAAAGCGUCGGUAAGGUGAUAUGAACCGUUAUAACCGGCGAUGUCCGAAUGGGGAAACCCAGUGCAAUUCGUUGCACUAUCGUUAACUGAAUACAUAGGUUAACGAGGCGAACCGGGGGAACUGAAACAUCUAAGUACCCCGAGGAAAAGAAAUCAACCGAGAUUCCCCCAGUAGCGGCGAGCGAACGGGGAGCAGCCCAGAGUCUGAAUCAGCUUGUGUGUUAGUGGAACGGUCUGGAAAGUCCGACGGUACAGGGUGAUAGUCCCGUACACCAAAAUGCACAGGCUGUGAACUCGAAGAGUAGGGCGGGACACGUGGUAUCCUGUCUGAAUAUGGGGGGACCAUCCUCCAAGGCUAAAUACUCCUGACUGACCGAUAGUGAACCAGUACCGUGAGGGAAAGGCGAAAAGAACCCCGGCGAGGGGAGUGAAAAAGAACCUGAAACCGUGUACGUACAAGCAGUGGGAGCACCUUCGGGUGUGACUGCGUACCUUUUGUAUAAUGGGUCAGCGACUUAUAUUCUGUAGCAAGGUUAACCGUAUAGGGGAGCCGCAGGGAAACCGAGUCUUAACUGGGCGUUAAGUUGCAGGGUAUAGACCCGAAACCCGGUGAUCUAGCCAUGGGCAGGUUGAAGGUUGGGUAACACUAACUGGAGGACCGAACCGACUAAUGUUGAAAAAUUAGCGGAUGACUUGUGGCUGGGGGUGAAAGGCCAAUCAAACCGGGAGAUAGCUGGUUCUCCCCGAAAGCUAUUUAGGUAGCGCCUCGUGAAUUCAUCUUCGGGGGUAGAGCACUGUUUCGGCUAGGGGGUCAUCCCGACUUACCAACCCGAUGCAAACUACGAAUACCGAAGAAUGUUAUCACGGGAGACACACGGCGGGUGCUAACGUCCGUCGUGAAGAGGGAAACAACCCAGACCGCCAGCUAAGGUCCCAAAGUCAUGGUUAAGUGGGAAACGAUGUGGGAAGGCACAGACAGCCAGGAUGUUGGCUUAGAAGCAGCCAUCAUUUAAAGAAAGCGUAAUAGCUCACUGGUCGAGUCGGCCUGCGCGGAAGAUGUAACGGGGCUAAACCAUGCACCGAAGCUGCGGCAGCGACACUAUGUGUUGUUGGGUAGGGGAGCGUUCUGUAAGCCUGCGAAGGUGACCUGUGAGGGUUGCUGGAGGUAUCAGAAGUGCGAAUGCUGACAUAAGUAACGAUAAAGCGGGUGAAAAGCCCGCUCGCCGGAAGACCAAGGGUUCCUGUCCAACGUUAAUCGGGGCAGGGUGAGUCGACCCCUAAGGCGAGGCCGAAAGGCGUAGUCGAUGGGAAACAGGUUAAUAUUCCUGUACUUGGUGUUACUGCGAAGGGGGGACGGAGAAGGCUAUGUUAGCCGGGCGACGGUUGUCCCGGUUUAAGCAUGUAGGCUGGUUGUCCAGGCAAAUCCGGAUAAUCAAGGCUGAGGUGUGAUGACGAGGCACUACGGUGCUGAAGUAACAAAUGCCCUGCUUCCAGGAAAAGCCUCUAAGCAUCAGGUAACAUCAAAUCGUACCCCAAACCGACACAGGUGGUCAGGUAGAGAAUACCAAGGCGCUUGAGAGAACUCGGGUGAAGGAACUAGGCAAAAUGGUGCCGUAACUUCGGGAGAAGGCACGCUGGUGUGUAGGUGAAGCCCCUGCGGGUGGAGCUGAGACCAGUCGAAGAUACCAGCUGGCUGCAACUGUUUAUUAAAAACACAGCACUGUGCAAACACGAAAGUGGACGUAUACGGUGUGACGCCUGCCCGGUGCCGGAAGGUUAAUUGAUGGGGUUAUCCGUAAGGAGAAGCUCUUGAUCGAAGCCCCGGUAAACGGCGGCCGUAACUAUAACGGUCCUAAGGUAGCGAAAUUCCUUGUCGGGUAAGUUCCGACCUGCACGAAUGGCGUAAUGAUGGCCAGGCUGUCUCCACCCGAGACUCAGUGAAAUUGAACUCGCUGUGAAGAUGCAGUGUACCCGCGGCAAGACGGAAAGACCCCGUGAACCUUUACUAUAGCUUGACACUGAACAUUGAGCCUUGAUGUGUAGGAUAGGUGGGAGGCUUUGAAGCGUGGACGCCAGUCUGCGUGGAGCCAACCUUGAAAUACCACCCUUUAAUGUUUGAUGUUCUAACGUUGGCCCCUUACCGGGGUUGCGGACAGUGUCUGGUGGGUAGUUUGACUGGGGCGGUCUCCUCCCAAAGCGUAACGGAGGAGCACGAAGGUUAGCUAAUCCUGGUCGGACAUCAGGAGGUUAGUGCAAUGGCAUAAGCUAGCUUGACUGCGAGCGUGACGGCGCGAGCAGGUGCGAAAGCAGGUCAUAGUGAUCCGGUGGUUCUGAAUGGAAGGGCCAUCGCUCAACGGAUAAAAGGUACUCCGGGGAUAACAGGCUGAUACCGCCCAAGAGUUCAUAUCGACGGCGGUGUUUGGCACCUCGAUGUCGGCUCAUCACAUCCUGGGGCUGAAGUAGGUCCCAAGGGUAUGGCUGUUCGCCAUUUAAAGUGGUACGCGAGCUGGGUUUAGAACGUCGUGAGACAGUUCGGUCCCUAUCUGCCGUGGGCGCUGGAGAAUUGAGGGGGGCUGCUCCUAGUACGAGAGGACCGGAGUGGACGCAUCACUGGUGUUCGGGUUGUCAUGCCAAUGGCACUGCCCGGUAGCUAAAUGCGGAAGAGAUAAGUGCUGAAAGCAUCUAAGCACGAAACUUGCCCCGAGAUGAGUUCUCCCUGAGACUUUAAGUCUCCUGAAGGAACGUUGAAGACGACGACGUUGAUAGGCCGGGUGUGUAAGCGCAGCGAUGCGUUGAGCUAACCGGUACUAAUGAACCGUGAGGCUUAACCUUACAACGCCGAAG